Molecule: ribosomal RNA, 595 nt
Filed under: Mylonchulus sp. NK-2011a
Lineage: Eukaryota; Metazoa; Nematoda; Enoplea; Mononchida; Mylonchulidae
Description: SSU rRNA
Rfam family: Eukaryotic small subunit ribosomal RNA
Source: RNAcentral
UUCUAACCGUAAACUAUGCCAACUAGCGAUCCGUCGGUGUUAAAUAUUGACUCGACGGGCAGCUUCCGGGAAACCAAAGUUUAUAGGUUCCGGGGGAAGUAUGGUUGCAAAGCUUAAACUUAAAGGAAUUGACGGAAGGGCACCACCAGGAGUGGAGCCUGCGGCUUAAUUUGACUCAACACGGGGAAACUCACCCGGCCAGGACACAAUAAGGAUUGACAGAUUGAUAGCUCUUUCUUGAUUUUGUGGGUGGUGGUGCAUGGCCGUUCUUAGUUGGUGGAGCGAUUUGUCUGGUUAAUUCCGAUAACGAACGAGACUCUAGCCUAUUAAAUAGACGAUAUAUUUUAUUCGUAUAUCGAGCUUCUUAGAGGGACGAGCAGCUUCUAGCUGCACGAGAUUGAGCAAUAACAGGUCUGUGAUGCCCUUAGAUGUCCGGGGCUGCACGCGCGCUACAAUGAAAAUAGCAGCGCGUUUCGAAAACCUUUUCUGGAAAGAAUUGGUAAACGCGAAAUAUUUUCGUGAUAGGGAUAGGGGAUUGCAAUUAUUGCCCUUGAACGAGGAAUUCCCAGUAAAUUCGAGUCAUCAGCUCGAGUUG